GCCUUUUUAGCUCAGUUGGUUAGAGCAUCUGACUGUUAAUCAGAGGGUCGCUGGUUCGAGCCCAGCAAAAGGCGCCA
This 77-nucleotide transfer RNA is filed under the name Ornithobacterium rhinotracheale. RNAcentral's name for it is "tRNA-Asn". It matches the Rfam family "tRNA". Rfam says of the family: Transfer RNA (tRNA) molecules are approximately 80 nucleotides in length. Their secondary structure includes four short double-helical elements and three loops (D, anti-codon, and T loops). The record is from RNAcentral. Lineage: Bacteria; Pseudomonadati; Bacteroidota; Flavobacteriia; Flavobacteriales; Weeksellaceae. RNAcentral also lists the same sequence under 3 other names.